AGUUCCUAACUUCCUGUUUCGUUGACCAAUCAGAUUGCUAAAAUAUAAAAUUUGAUUGGUCAAUGAAACAGGAAGUUAGGAACUUUUUAAGGAA
This 94-nucleotide microRNA precursor is filed under the name Paramuricea clavata. Lineage: Eukaryota; Metazoa; Cnidaria; Anthozoa; Malacalcyonacea; Plexauridae. The record is from RNAcentral.